UUAUAUUUCGCGCACUUUAUCGUCAACCGAUGUUCGUGAACGUACCUUAUAUCAAACGCAGAGCGUAUCAGCUGAGUCGAACGGCGUCUUAUCAGUACCGUGAUAUGGAAAUAAGCGAUAACGCAACCAACCAACAAAAUAGCGCUCCCAAAAUAACAACCGGUGCACAAGUUAUACCACAGUGAGGUGAAGCCCCAACUGCAGGACUACAAUAAUUAGGUAGGAUGGUAUUCCGGGUACUUAUCGUUCCGGUGUCCUCCACGUCACCUUCAGCUAGAUGGAAGGGUUCUCCUCAAAAAGGAUUCGGGAAUCCGGAUUUAAGUCAUAAUCGAGCAAUCACAGCAAGACCCCGAAAAUCGUGGCUCCAGGAGCUGCUGAAUUUUCCUUUAGCGUCCAGGCAAUGAAGCACCAAACGAAGGUAACUUGGUGGAAAACUCCGGGUGAGUAGUACACUCCAAUAAUAAAAGCCUAAAAAAAACGAAGUUCUAGAAAAUUCGCCAGGAAAUUGACAAUGGGGCACAAAUUGGUUCAUUGACGAGAAAAGUUGAAACUGUGAGAAUAUUUAAUCAUUUUACCUCUGGAUGGGCGAGGCUGCUUUAGAUAUUGAGGGUGUGGUGGCGUCCAAAAAAAAUCCAACAAACGUUGCGUGCUUUGCAAGCACCUUUUCCUCCGGUUUUUUUCCAAAAUCGAACACAAUAAGUCGUUUGAGUAAGACCUUAGCGACAAUUACUCCAAGCAAUUUCACAAAUCUAAACUUUUAGGUCUCUCAAAGCUAAAAAUUCCGGGAACAGAAUUCGCACAACCACACAAGAAGGUUAGCAAAAAUUUAACGGAUGAAGAUAUUUUUUUUUUGCCUCAAAAAAAGUGAUCCGUCAUCAGCAGAAGCCUUCCCGCCUUUUUAGGAACCAAUUAGAAUUGAGUUUAUUUUCGACAAGAUGGUGUCAAUUCCGGUGGCGCUGUUGUUCAGUUCGAGUCAAAAAUCCCUAUUUCAGAUGACAAGGCGACAGGGUUGCCAAAAGAUGAUGACGUGUUUUGUUUACAGUAACCUCAAAUGGUGAACAACAUAAAAGGUUUGCGAGGGACGCUAUUCUGGCAUAAAUAUAAUAAGUGUAAACUAUGAUGGAAUGUUUAAUAAAACGGUAUCCUAUU
Molecule: long non-coding RNA, 1149 nt
Organism: Zophobas morio
Lineage: Eukaryota; Metazoa; Arthropoda; Insecta; Coleoptera; Tenebrionidae
Exons: 2
Source: RefSeq, a predicted model, not a curated record